AAGGAUGUCAUGGAAACACCAUAGCUGUCAAUUCCAAGAUUGGUAUGGCUGUCCAAAUCUUCAAAUAGACCUGAAGACGGAGAAUAUAACAAUGCCCACACCUGCUGUCGCGAACAAGGAUCCAUCCCAGCAGUUGGUUCAUCAAGUAGUAAAACCUUUAAAGAGGUUUCUGAUCCCCAUUUCAACUUAAUCACAGACUGCUGAAGCUCAUGGAAAAAGUCCUGUCCUCUGUGUCUACUCUAUGAAAC
Chiloscyllium plagiosum (whitespotted bambooshark) is the source of this 248-nucleotide non-coding RNA. The record is from RefSeq and is a predicted model, not a curated record. Lineage: Eukaryota; Metazoa; Chordata; Chondrichthyes; Orectolobiformes; Hemiscylliidae.